GCCGAAGGCCGGGGUUACGCAAGUUAUCGUUGAGAAGAUCCACCAUGAAUGGCGGAGAUCGGAGGUUGUCCGGCUUAAGUUCCAUGAGGACCUGGCUCACGAUAUGAAGACAGCUCACAAGCUUGUCGAGCAACGAACGGGUGGAUUGGUCAUAUGGAGAUCAGGGAGUGUGAUGGUGGUUUAUAGGGGAAGUAACUAUAAGCACCCUUCAAGAUCUCAAUCUUCUGAUGCUGAAAAUAUCUCCACAAAAACGUCACAUGAAGGCGAGAACCUAUUUAU
This 279-nucleotide unclassified non-coding RNA is filed under the name Hevea brasiliensis (rubber tree). Lineage: Eukaryota; Viridiplantae; Streptophyta; Magnoliopsida; Malpighiales; Euphorbiaceae. The record is from RNAcentral.